GGGGAAUUUUGUGCAAUGGGUGCAAGCCAGACGGAACAAAACCGCGUGAGGGAUAAAGGCUCUUAGGUGGUAAACCUNUUUUCUCCAGGAAGAAAAAUACGGUACCUGAGGAAUAAACAUCCGCUAACUCUGUGCCAGCCGCCGCGGUAAUACAGAGGAUGCAAGCGUUAUCUGGAAUGAUUCGGCGUAAAGAGUCCGUAGGUGGUUAUUCAAGUCUGUGGGUAAAGCCCGGAGCUCAACUCCUUAUAGCCCAUGGAAACUGAAUAACUAGAGUGACGUAGGGGGAGAGGGAAUUCUCGGUGUAGCGGUGAAAGGCGUAGAUAUCUGGAAGAACACCCGUGGCGAAAGCGCUCUACUGGGCCUUAACUGACACUCAGGGACGAAAGCUAGGGGAGCGAAAGAGAUUAGAUACCCC
This 415-nucleotide ribosomal RNA is filed under the name uncultured bacterium. RNAcentral's name for it is "bacterial SSU rRNA". It matches the Rfam family "Bacterial small subunit ribosomal RNA", at positions 356 to 788 of the family's 1533-position model. The record is from RNAcentral.